This 292-nucleotide ribosomal RNA is filed under the name uncultured prokaryote. Its description in RNAcentral is "partial 16S ribosomal RNA". The record is from RNAcentral.
CCCUAUGGGGUGGACAUCAGCUUGAUUUUUGGCAGGUUGAGCGUUUCGGACAGUUUCACCGGCGUGGUCAUGAACGGCGGGGGCGGGGGAGGAGGCGGCGUCGGCGUCGGCGGGACGACCAUUUUCAGUUGGCUUUUCGGCGGUUCCUCCGAGGGGGCUAUCGGCAGUUCCUGCACGCGGAAAUCGAUUCCCUUGUUGGUGGCGGAUUCCUGGGAUGAUUCCUCCAAUCCAGUGGAUUGGGGAACAAUGUUUAACAACUCCCUGACUGCGUGAGUCAAGGUGGCGGGAGAGC